AGGGUUUGAUCCUGGCUCAGGAUGAACGCUAGCGGCAGGCCUAAUACAUGCAAGUCGAACGGUGUCUUCGGACAUAGUGGCGCACGGGUGCGUAACACGUAUGCAACCUACCUUACAUUGGGGGAUAGCCUUUCGAAAGGGAGAUUAAUACCGCAUAAGACAGUAGCUGGGCAUCCAGCAGCUGUUAAAGAUUUAUCGAUGUAAGAUGGGCAUGCGUCCAAUUAGUUAGUUGGCGAGGUAAUGGCUCACCAAGACUUUGAUUGGUAGGGGAACUGAGAGGUCAAUCCCCCACACUGGCACUGAGAUACGGGCCAGACUCCUACGGGAGGCAGCAGUAGGGAAUAUUGGGCAAUGGACGCAAGUCUGACCCAGCCAUGCCGCGUGCAGGAUGAAGGCGUUAUGCGUUGUAAACUGCUUUUAUACAGGAAGAAACGACUCUUGCGAGAGGCAUUGACGGUACUGUAUGAAUAAGCACCGGCUAACUCCGUGCCAGCCGCCGCGGUAAUACA
This 509-nucleotide ribosomal RNA is filed under the name uncultured Flectobacillus sp. RNAcentral describes it as "bacterial SSU rRNA". It matches the Rfam family "Bacterial small subunit ribosomal RNA", at positions 8 to 527 of the family's 1533-position model. Lineage: Bacteria; Pseudomonadati; Bacteroidota; Cytophagia; Cytophagales; Flectobacillaceae. The record is from RNAcentral.